UGAUGUAGUUUUUUGAUAUUAUACCUAUAUUUAUGAUUAUGUAUUAAUACCUGACGAAAAUACUAUAAGAACUAAUAAAUUAUUUACUAUUGAGACAUAAAAGUGUUGUUUGUUUUGCUGCAUUAAAGUGUAAGCCUGUUCUGGGCAACAGUGAGCGCAGAAUGUAUUGAGCAAUCUCACACACCCUAGUUCUAUACAGCAAGACAUUUUUGGCGUAGUCGGCAGGAUCUAUGUUUUCUUAUAUCUCGGUGUAGGAUACUGAUAGUGUAAAACGCUUUUGUACAGUGGUGGGUCCUGGCCAGACUUACCUCUGUGCAAAGUUUUGUCAAUUGGCAGUUUGCCAAGUUUUCGCCGAUAUAUAACAACAUAGCACGGUAAGGAUGUUUCGUAAGGGGAAAAAGGCUGGAGCGGAGCAAAUCACCGUCCCAGGGUGGAGUGAAAGUCCCUACAAUAUUAUAGCACAGGAGUUAUUAACGUCAGGUUUAGCAGAAUCAUGGGAUGGUAAACUCAAGAAUGCAGAACCCCUCGAUGUUGUAUAUGUACUUGAGGGGGUCCCUGCCAAGGCAGGUGAUGUAAUGGCGCUGGGAAGACGGUGCUGGAUACUAGUAUCAGCAUACCGUAAAAUGCACCAAAGAUAUGAGCAGUUACAAUCACGUUAUUUAGAUAUAGAACAAACAGUAAUUGAACAACAAGGAAAGAUAGGAUUGUUACAGUGUAGCAAUCAGAUGUUAUCAGAAAAAGCCCAGAAAUAUCAGAUUGUUGCCGAGAAGGCUGCUGUUAAAGUAGCCCAGAACAAAUAUAAAACAAGAAAGGGAAGGGUAAACACCCGAAAAGUACGAGCAAUUAUUGCUUCUGACGAUCUUCAAUGGGAUCCCGAUACAUGGGAUGGUGAUGUAUGGGAUAGUAGUAGUGAGGAGGAGGAAGAGGACAAGGGGGGAUGGGAUCCUCCCAAUCCUGUCAUUGACCCUCCUGGGGCAAAUGCUUGUCCUGUCUCGCGCAGGCAAUUAACUAAGCUUGCAGAAGGUGGAGGGCAGGCAGUCCUCAAAGAGAAAAUGAUACUGCAAGAUUUCACUCAAAAUUAAGUUAUGGAACUAUUGACCAAAUUUUCACAACGCCCCGGGGAAGGCGUCCUUACCUGGCUGGUCCGUUUGGUAGAGGAUGGCGCUGGAGGGGUUGAUGUAGAUAGACAAGAUGUUGCAAAAUUUGGAACUCUAUCCAAAGAUAGGACAAUUAUGAGGGACGCACAGUUAUGGUUCGCCAGAGAGGGUAAUGCUCAAGUACAAACUAAUCUCUUAACAGUGGUUGCAUACGGGGUAAAUUCCCGGUACACUGAUGAGAUACCUACCUCUGACAAACCAUGGACAACCCUCAGAGAGUGUGUUCAACGAUGUAAGGAAGAGGCUAUGAAAGCCGCUGUGCUUUUAGAAGAAGCCGCUGAAUAUUUACAAGGAAGGGUUUCAGUAGCAGCUCGGGCUAGGCUCGUGAAGACAGCUCCCCCUGCAUAUAAGCCAGUGGUUCUGACAUUAUUAAUUUCUAUGACAGAUCAAAGAUGGGAAGAUGUAAUCGAUAAGAUGCGGGAAUUACAGGACAUGGGAGAAUGGAAUAGGGAUAGAGCAGAGUCAAACACUAGAGAAGGGAGUGGAGAACAGGGAUACAGACAAACCGGCAAUGCAGAUAAUAGAGUAUCCAGACGGGAAAUGUUCCAAGCUCUUUUGAAAGCAGGAAUAGAUAAAGAAACCAUAGAUGGGAAAGAUACUCCCUAUUUAUGGAAAUUGUAUAAGCAAAAAAUUUUGUCAGGCAAGAAAAUUGCUUUUGCAGGGAAUACCAGUGAAAAAAGGUAAAAGAAUUUAGGGAUCAAGAAAAAGCAAUUAAGGGAGGAAAAUUGCCUGACUGGGAGAUGUUUGAAAAAUUAUAUCCCUGGGAGGAUAUUGCCGCUAAAGUAGCAACACAUUUGAAGCCUACUGCUCCUCCCGAGGAACAGGAAGAUUGAGAGGGUGAUGCAUAGGUAGCCAGCCAAGCCCCUGUAUGGAUUCGUCAUGAUGAGAGACCUUAUGUCAGAUUAGGAAUCCAUUGGUCACGGGGCAAUGUACAAGAGGUCCCCGCGUUAAUUGACACAGGGGCGGAGGCUACCCUAAUAUAUGGAAAUCCCAAUAGAUUUAAAGGACCCCGAAUUAAAAUUGCAGGGUUGGGGGGUCGAGUAACUGAAGGGGUACAGGUGGAAAUACCUCUAAAAAUAGGAAAUUUACCUAUUAAGAAAUGCUGAGUACUAAUAGUACCCAUUAGAGAAUAUAUUAUAGGCAUUGAUGUUUUAAAAGGACUGACCCUUUAUUUAGAUACAGGAAAAUUUAGUUUUGGAGUCAGAAGUAAUUGUAUUCAGGCCAGACCGAUUGUGGUGGGAAAAGUAAAAAUGCCCCCAGUACAUGUCCCACCUGCAACUAAAUUAAUUGCAAUGAAACAAUAUCGGAUACCGGGGGGCCAUCAAGAAAUAAGCGAAACCAUUAAAGAAUUAAUGGAUACAGGGGUGGUACGAUAUACCACUACUGCUUGGAAUAAUCCGAUAUGGCCAGUGAAAAAGAGCGAUGGCUCCUGGCGCAUGACUGUGGAUUAUAGAGAACUGAAUAAAUAUACACCCCCAUUGACAGCCGCGGUACCGGACACAAUAACUAUUAUAGAAUAAAUACAGGUGCAUCCAGGGACCUGGUAUGUCGUACUAGAUCUGGCCAAUGCGUUCUUUACAAUACCUAUAGAAGAGAGGGCACAAGACCAGUUUGCCUUCUCUUGGAUGGGUAGGCAGUACACUUUUUGCCGAUUACCGCAGGGAUGGAUACACAGUCCCACAAUCUGCCAGAGAGUAGUAGGGGAACAUUUAGAUGAAUUCAAGUUACCAGCUAAUAUGCAGAUAUCACAUUAUAUCGAUGAUAUAAUGAUUCAAGGAAAUACUGAAGAACAGGUCAAAGAACAAUUAGACUUGUUAAUAAAACACAUGAAAAAUAAAGGGUGGGAGAUUAAUCCCGCCAAGGUGCAGGGACCUGCACAAGCGGUGAAGUUUUUGGGGAUACAGUGGAAUAAAGGACAUAGGGAAAUCCUCCCUAAAGCCAGGCAGAAGAUCCUAGAUUUCCCUACCCCCAAAAACAAACAAGAAACCCAAUCUUAUAUUGGGCUGUUUGGCUUUUGGAGGCAGCAUAUUCCUCAUUUAGGACAGUUACUUUCCCCCUUGCGAAAGGUGACACGCAAGAAAUAUGCAUUUACUUGGGGGGAGGAACAGCAACAGGCAUUUGAAGAUGCCAAGCAAGCAAUUCAACAAGCAGUAGAUUUGUGGCCCAUGGAAGAUGGAGAGGUAGAAUUACAUGUAUCAGCACAAGAACAAUAUGCUACUUGGUCACUGUGGCAAAAGCAAAGUGGCAAGAGAGUGCCACUAGGAUUUUGGAACAGAAAAUUACCCGAUGCAGGAGAGAAGUACACUCCUUUGGAGCAACAGUUACUAGCUUGCUAUUGGGCAUUAGUGGAUACUAAACAGUUAACAAUAGGACACUCUGUAUUGAUGAGACCACGCAUACCAAUUAUGCAAUGGAUAAUGUCUAUUCCAAAGUCAAAUAGGAUAGGAUAGGCCAUGCCCAAGAACAGAGUAUUAUAAAAUGGAAAUGGUAUAUUUCAGAAAGAGCAAAACAGGGAGAGGGAGGUGUGGCAUCCUUACAUGAAAAAAUUGCAGAUAUUCCAGUAGAUGGAGUGAGUACAGCUUCUCCUAAAGAACAGCUAGAAGAAUCACCAGUAAAAUGGGGUAAACCUUAUUCUGAGUUAAGCAACAAAUCUCAAUGUCACACAUGGUUUACAGAUGGAUCUGCACGUUAUGUUGCGGGAAGAAGGAAGUGGAGAUCAGUUGCGUUUAAUCCCCGCAUGUCUAAAACAUUAGAAAUAGAAGGGGAAGGAAAGAGUAGCCAAUAUGCCUAAUUAUUUGCAGUAUAUUUGGCCCUUAGACAGGAAAUUGGAGGUGAAUGUAAUAUUUAUACUGAUUCAUGGUCAGUAGCCAAUGGAUUAGCCACAUGGAUGAUGAGCUGGAAGAAACAUGAUUGGAAAAUUCAUGGGAAAGAGUUAUGGGGAAAGGAAGUCUGGGAGGACAUUGAAGUUAUCACUAAACAAACAAAAGUAACUGUAUUCCAUGUUGAUGCACAUGUACCAUUAGACUCACUUGAACGUUUGUUUAAUUCACAAGCAGAUGCACAAGCCGCCAUUGCUAAGUCAUCUCAGGAGCCAGUGGCAGGAGAGACGAAGGAAUUGGAAUCAUGGUUACAGGGUACAGCCCUUUGGGCACACCAAAAGAGUGGACAUCUGGGAGAAAAGGCAACUUACAGAUUGUCGUGAGGCUCAGUCUUGGAAUCCUUGGAAUUGUAUUAUUGGUCGUCCCCUCUAGUACAUGGACACCUGGAUUGAAGAUAGAGAAACGAGAGUUGCAUACUGUACGGUGGGGAUGGAACAAUGCCACUAUACCAAGAACCCAAGAUAAUUUCACUUGUCAGGCCAAUCAGCGCUGUACUAAUAUAGUAAAUAUAACAAUUCCAGGAACGAGGUGGGCUGGACCGCCUGAUCCACAAAGAAACAGAUAUCAACCUACAUUUGCCUUACAUCAGUCAGAAGGCAAUAUCACAAUUAAUGCUGCAGUAAAUAUAAGUUGCUGCUCUAAACCUUAUAGGUUCCGAUUUCUCCCUAAAGAAGAGAAGAAUAAAGAAUAUAAGAAUUGUUCUAAACAAGGAGCAACCACAUUUCGGUUAGCUGUAAAAGACGUUUUAAUUUUGGUAUGUCAUAAUGCUACUGAAAUAAAAAAUCGAACGUGGUGGGCACAAGA
This is a long non-coding RNA of Pseudophryne corroboree (corroboree frog), 4840 nucleotides long. RefSeq lists it as uncharacterized. Lineage: Eukaryota; Metazoa; Chordata; Amphibia; Anura; Myobatrachidae. The transcript has 2 exons. The record is from RefSeq and is a predicted model, not a curated record.